GUCCCAUCCUCACACCAUCCUGAGAUCACUCAGCUUCUUCCCUUUGCUCUCCCUAUGGCUGUAGCCGCUGCCUGGCACGGGACAAGCACUCGAGAAAUGCUUUUUGAAAGAUGAGUCCUAAAUAGAAUCAGCAGAUGCACCCAGAGCAGCUCCUGCUUCCACGAAAGCCUGUGCAGCGCUGCCACUCUACAAGAUCCCUCUUCGAACUGAUCAGAAUGUGUAUCGUCACCCAGUGCACCGGCUCUCCACGCUGCAUUGCUCAUCCUCACACAUUGAAACUAAACACGUCGAAAAUGUCACAGAUGCUCCAACAGCAAAGGAAAUUGGCAUCUAAAAAAUCGAGCGGGGGAAGUGAUCAUAGAAAGCUUCGUGGAUACACCACAUUUUAAAGACUAAGCAUCGUCGGGGAAGCGGUGCCAGGCCAAGGGUGGUGUGUGGGGAAGUAUACAGAGCCGUGAGAGAGGCAGAGCGAGGCAUGUGGGGGAUGAGCAGAGGAAGAGCUGGAGGAAAGGCAUAUUGAGGAGUGUAAGGAGGACGAGGGCCAGGACUUGAGGGCUGAUGAUGUGAAGUCCUGAGCGCUGCGGGGAGCUGCUGGGGAGUGUUAGACAGGCCACAGUGUCAUCAGAAUCGAGUGUGGAAAGUGUUAUUCUGGCAGUCCGGUGGGGAUUGUUUGGGAAAACUGUAGGCAAGGACAUCACCUUGCAAUUCUGGCAGCCGGGUGGGGGUUGUUUGGGAAAAUUGCAGGCAAGGACCUCACCAUGCAAUUCUGGGCAAACAGAGAUGAUGCCUGUGUCAGAUGCUGGUAGGGAGAGCUUUCCUAGAGCUCCUCUUUUCUCAAUAAAAUGGGAGACAAGCUCAUCAGCUGAGCGUAAGAUGUAGGAGGUGUGGAAGGUUUGAGGAGAGGGGAGGUGGGGUAACUGAACCGUGCCAGACUCCUGAGAAGCCACGAAGGGAUGGAAUUCAAGUCACAGGUGGGAGGCUGCAUGUAGAUGGCUGAAGGGCCUUCUGUCCUGGCACGGAAAUGGUGCAGGAGGGCAGGUGCAAAGAGAGGCUGGUGUGUAUAGAUGGAGUGGGGGACACUCCGUCUCUGGGGUCUUUGGUCCUGUCCUCACUAGUGUCUUGAGGGUUGCACAAUGUCAAGGCACCCCCUUGGCAGGGCAAUGCUGAUGGCCACAGAGCAUGGCCUGCACUGCUUGGUUUUAUGCCGGAAGGUUUUCCCAACUUCCAGUAUCAGGAAGAGGAGGCUGGAGAUUCUGUUCCUGGGCUCCCAGGAGGCCCUGGGUUUUCCUCUGCAGGUUCCUCAUCAACCCCAACCCAGAGGUCUGCG
RNAcentral lists this long non-coding RNA (1327 nucleotides) under Homo sapiens (human). Its description in RNAcentral is "HSALNT0373130". Lineage: Eukaryota; Metazoa; Chordata; Mammalia; Primates; Hominidae. The record is from RNAcentral.